This is a small nucleolar RNA of Pteronotus mesoamericanus, 128 nucleotides long. RefSeq annotates it as small nucleolar RNA SNORA69. Lineage: Eukaryota; Metazoa; Chordata; Mammalia; Chiroptera; Mormoopidae. The transcript has a single exon. The record is from RefSeq and is a predicted model, not a curated record.
AAGGCAAGUUUACAGUGCUUCAUUUUGUGGACGUACUGCCAUUAUCCUGCUGAAAGAAAACCUUGUGGUGACCAUUUUCGAUUUUGCCUUCCUGAGGGUGAUGUCAUGUUGGACUGACAUGGACAAUU